This 900-nucleotide ribosomal RNA is filed under the name Neopestalotiopsis natalensis. RNAcentral describes it as "LSU rRNA". It matches the Rfam family "Eukaryotic large subunit ribosomal RNA", at positions 38 to 963 of the family's 3401-position model. The record is from RNAcentral. Lineage: Eukaryota; Fungi; Ascomycota; Sordariomycetes; Amphisphaeriales; Sporocadaceae.
GCAUAUCAAUAAGCGGAGGAAAAGAAACCAACAGGGAUUGCCUUAGUAACGGCGAGUGAAGCGGCAACAGCUCAAAUUUGAAAUCUGGCCCUUGGGUCCGAAUUGUAAUUUGUAGAGGAUGAUUUUGGUGCGGUAUCUUCCGAGUUCCUUGGAACAGGACGCCUUAGAGGGUGAGAGCCCCGUACGGUUGAAUGCCUAGCCUCUGUAAAUCUCCUUCGACGAGUCGAGUAGUUUGGGAAUGCUGCUCUAAAUGGGAGGUAAAUUUCUUCUAAAGCUAAAUAUUGGCCAGAGACCGAUAGCGCACAAGUAGAGUGAUCGAAAGAUGAAAAGCACUUUGAAAAGAGGGUUAAAUAGCACGUGAAAUUGUUGAAAGGGAAGGAUUUGUGACCAGACUUUUUCUGGGCGGAUCAUCCGGGGUUCUCUCCGGUGCACUUCGCCCAGUAAAGGCCAGCAUCGGUUUUCGGCGUGGGAUAAAAGCAGCAGGAAUGUGGCUCCCUACGGGGAGUGUUAUAGCCUGUUGUAUAAUACCGCGCUGGGGACCGAGGUUCGCGCUUCUGCAAGGAUGCUGGCGUAAUGGUUAUCAAUCACCCGUCUUGAAACACGGACCAAGGAGUCGAACAUUUGUGCAAGUGUUUGGGUGUUAAACCCUCACGCGUAAUGAAAGUGAACGUAGGUGAGAGCCCUUACGGGUGCAUCAUCGACCGAUCCUGAUGUCUUCGGAUGGAUUUGAGUAAGAGCAUAACUGUUCGGACCCGAAAGAUGGUGAACUAUGCGUGGAUAGGGUGAAGCCAGAGGAAACUCUGGUGGAGGCUCGCAGCGGUUCUGACGUGCAAAUCGAUCGUCAAAUCUGCGCAUGGGGGCGAAAGACUAAUCGAACCAUCUAGUAGCUGGUUACCGCCG